Molecule: long non-coding RNA, 1786 nt
Organism: Lycium ferocissimum
Lineage: Eukaryota; Viridiplantae; Streptophyta; Magnoliopsida; Solanales; Solanaceae
Exons: 4
Source: RefSeq, a predicted model, not a curated record
UUCCCCUUUUUCUGCUUUUGUUUGAUUCUUAUUUCCCUCAAGGCUGCUUGCAAUUUGGCUUAUCCUUGCCCAAUUUAUGCAAGGAGUUACAGGUAAAAUAUCCUUCCCUGUUUAUGUAGUUUAAUUUCAUAUUUGGCUUUUGUGUGUGUUAUUUUAACUUUCUCUUACUUAGGAGAUCCAAAAGUAUUUCCUUUGAGUCACAUGUUUUCCAUGUAUGAAAUUCUUUAGACCAGAUCAUGAUAAUUGUGUAGACUAGGAGACGAAUACAGGUUUGGUAUUAUUUUUGUUUGCUCUUUCAUCUAAUAGUUUAUAUUUCUUUUCCUCUUUCAUCUAAUAGGUAUCGCUCUGAAAUAUCUUUUUCUAGGCAUCAAGCAGUUCAGAUCUUUUACGGCACAUGAUUGACAUAUGGAAUUUCAUUUAUAUGUGAUGAAGAAUGUAGUGGUUUUUUUAAUAUCAACCAUCCGAGAAGUGAAAAGGAAAGAAGAGGUUUUAGACUUUUAGCAAGAGGUAUUUGUCCACUGGUGUAUUACUAAUACGUUUAGAGCUCUUGAAUUAUAUCAAAAUUUUCUUCUAUAUAUUAGGAGUAUUUGAUUUCUGAUAUUCCCUUUUCUUUGGCCAGCUGAUAUUGCUGAGGAAAGGAAUUAGCCAUCAUUCUUCUUCAUCAUUCAUUAUGACAAUUGCAAAUGAAAUCCAUCUACAAAAGUUGCAUGUAAGGAAGAAAUGACGAAGAUGAAAAGUACCAUAACUUUCAAGUACCAUAACUUUCAAAGGCCCGUAUCGUCUAUAUUCCAACCGAUCUCUCACCAUUUCGGCACAUGAUAUGUUCUUUUGAUGUGUGGCAGAACCAACCUGUCUUGAAUACUUUCUAAAGAUAAGUAUUUCUCAGAUUAAUAAUUCACAUCAUGAAUGGAUAGUCAUGUGCUCUAUCACCUUCCUUACAACUAUGUUGGGUAGAUGAUACUUUUUGACUUAACAUUCUUUUAGCAGCACAUUUGUCGCAGUUAUUAAGUUGUGCAUGAUAUAUCGUAGAUUGUUAAGUUCAAGUUGCUGGCUUCGUAUGAUAUCGCUAGUAAAAGAACUUAUAUCUUGUAGUUUACCUUUUUUGUAUUCAUUUGGCUAUCUCAUGGAGAUGCUAUACCCAGCAUUCAGUGUUGUUUUUCAAACUUCACUCUUUAGACACUUUCCUAUUGGAGGCUUGGAGCUCUAGACAAGGAAUUUUUAAUGAUAAGAAAAGCAAGAUUGUAAAAAUCAUAGAUCCUCAUAGAAGACAUGUUGGAAAAUACUCUGGAGUAAAAAAAAAAAAAAAAAAAAAACAUGUUACAAAAUACUAACCCUAAAGAACAAAUACUUGAAUUUCAAGACCAAUAUAAUAGCUGCUUGGUAGAUCAUUUACCCUUUGGCAUAGGCUUUUUGUAAAAUGUUUUAUGUAUUGGAGCUUAUAAUUCCUUAGGCCUACUGAUAUUUCUAUGCAGAAUUGUUAGUUUUAGAGUAGGAAAAGGAAACAUGAGUUUGAUACAUGAGGACUAAUUUGAGUUGAUGGUAAUUUAAUUUAUCAAGUUUAUGACAAAAUUAUGUAUUUGUUAGUUCAACGGGAUUGUGGUUGACUUGCUUCACUGUCUAGCAGAUAUUGUUUUUUCUGUGUGGCGAAUUCGAGAAUUGCACGGAGAAAAAAAACACAAAAAUAGCUUUGAAAUAGAAACAGAAGCAAAGCAUGAGAAGAAGAAAAUUGAAAUGGUUGCUUUAGAAGAGGAGGAGAAUGUUGUAUUGCAAUUUCAAGACUGAUCAU